RNAcentral lists this transfer RNA (72 nucleotides) under Ictidomys tridecemlineatus (thirteen-lined ground squirrel). Its description in RNAcentral is "Spermophilus tridecemlineatus (thirteen-lined ground squirrel) tRNA". It matches the Rfam family "tRNA". Rfam says of the family: Transfer RNA (tRNA) molecules are approximately 80 nucleotides in length. Lineage: Eukaryota; Metazoa; Chordata; Mammalia; Rodentia; Sciuridae. The record is from Rfam by way of RNAcentral.
UGGGGUGUGGCUCAGCAGUAGAGCGCUCACCUAGCACAUGUGAGGCCCUGGGUUUGAUCCUCAGCCCCACAU